Molecule: ribosomal RNA, 439 nt
Filed under: uncultured soil bacterium
Lineage: Bacteria
Description: bacterial SSU rRNA
Rfam family: Bacterial small subunit ribosomal RNA
Source: RNAcentral
AGGACGAACGCUGGCGGCGUGCUUAACACAUGCAAGUCGAGCGGAAAGGCCACUUCGGUGGUACUCGAGCGGCGAACGGGUGAGUAACACGUGAGUAAUCUGCCCUCCACUUUGGGAUAGCCACCGGAAACGGUGAUUAAUACCGGAUAUGACCUGUGCCCGCAUGGGUGUUGGUGGAAAGUUUUUCGGUGGGGGAUGUGCUCGCGGCCUAUCAGCUUGAUGGUGGGGUAAUGGCCUACAUGGCUUCGACGGGUAGCCGGCCUGAGAGGGUGACCGGCCACGACUGGGACUGGAGACACGGCCCAGACUCCGUACGGGAGGCAGCAGGUGGGGAAUAGUUGGACAAGUGGGGACGAAGCCUGGACUCCAGCAACGCCGCGGUGAGGGAUGACGGCCGUUGGGUUACGUAACUCUUCGCUGCGACGAGACGAAGUGAGUA